This 327-nucleotide ribosomal RNA is filed under the name uncultured eukaryote. RNAcentral describes it as "partial 18S ribosomal RNA". It matches the Rfam family "Eukaryotic small subunit ribosomal RNA", at positions 1470 to 1796 of the family's 1831-position model. The record is from RNAcentral.
CCCUUAGAUGUUCUGGGCCGCACGCGCGCUACACUGACGAAUGCAACGAGCUUAUAACCUUGGCCGAAAGGUCUGGGUAAUCUCCAAAUUUCGUCGUGAUGGGGAUAGAUUAUUGCAAUUAUUAAUCUUCAACGAGGAAUGCCUAGUAAGCGCAAGUCAUCAGCUUGCGUUGAUUACGUCCCUGCCCUUUGUACACACCGUCCGUCGCUCCUACCGAUUGAAUGGUCCGGUGAAGCGUUCGGACCGUGGCCUUUGGACGGUUCGCCGUCUGUUGGCUGCGGGAAGUUCGUUAAACCUUAUCAUUUAGAGGAAGGAGAANUCGUANCA